UACAGAGACUGCAAGCGUUAUUCGGAUUCACUGGGCGUAAAGGGUGCGCAGGUGGUUGGGUGUGUCAGAUGUGAAAUCCCGAGGCUCAACCUCGGAACUGCGUCUGAAACUACUCGACUAGAGUAUUGGAGAGGGUAACGGAAUUCACGGUGUAGCAGUGAAAUGCGUAGAUAUCGUGAGGAACACCAGAGGCGAAGGCGGUUACCUGGACAAUUACUGACACUCAGGCACGAAAGCAUGGGGAGCAAAAGGG
RNAcentral lists this ribosomal RNA (253 nucleotides) under uncultured bacterium. RNAcentral describes it as "partial 16S ribosomal RNA". It matches the Rfam family "Bacterial small subunit ribosomal RNA", at positions 524 to 776 of the family's 1533-position model. The record is from RNAcentral.